UACGUAGGGUGCAAGCGUUGUCCGGAAUUAUUGGGCGUAAAGAGCUCGUAGGCGGUCUGUCGCGUCGGCUGUGAAAACUCGGGGCUCAACUCCGAACUGCAGUCGAUACGGGCAGGCUAGAGUUCGGCAGGGGAGACUGGAAUUCCUGGUGUAGCGGUGAAAUGCGCAGAUAUCAGGAGGAACACCGGUGGCGAAGGCGGGUCUCUGGGCCGAUACUGACGCUGAGGAGCGAAAGCGUGGGGAGCGAACAGG
This 252-nucleotide ribosomal RNA is filed under the name uncultured bacterium. Its description in RNAcentral is "partial 16S ribosomal RNA". It matches the Rfam family "Bacterial small subunit ribosomal RNA", at positions 524 to 776 of the family's 1533-position model. The record is from RNAcentral.